Molecule: unclassified non-coding RNA, 159 nt
Organism: Macaca fascicularis (crab-eating macaque)
Lineage: Eukaryota; Metazoa; Chordata; Mammalia; Primates; Cercopithecidae
Rfam family: Metazoan signal recognition particle RNA
About the family: The signal recognition particle (SRP) is a universally conserved ribonucleoprotein.
Source: Ensembl
GCUAGGUAUGGUGGUGUGUGCCUAUAGUCCCAGCUACCUGUGAGGCUGAGGCAGGAGGAUUGCUUGAGACCAGGAGUUUAAGGCUGUAGUGCACCAUGAUCAUGCCUGAGAAUAGCCACUGCAUUCUAGCCUGGGCAACAUAGCAAGACCCUGUCUCUU